RNAcentral lists this ribosomal RNA (443 nucleotides) under uncultured bacterium. Its description in RNAcentral is "partial 16S ribosomal RNA". It matches the Rfam family "Bacterial small subunit ribosomal RNA", at positions 338 to 795 of the family's 1533-position model. The record is from RNAcentral.
CCUACGGGAGGCAGCAGUGGGGGAUAUUGGACAAUGGGGGGAACCCUGAUCCAGCGACGCCGCGUGAGUGAAGAAGUAUUUCGGUAUGUAAAGCUCUGUCAGCAGGGAAGAAAGAAAUGACGGUACCUGACCAAGAAGCCCCGGCUAACUACGUGCCAGCAGCCGCGGUAAUACGUAGGGGGCAAGCGUUAUCAGGAAGUACUGGGUGUAAAGGGAGCGUAGACGGUUAAGUAAGUCUGGAGUGAAAGGACGGGGCCCAACCCCGGGACUGCUCUGGAAACUGUUGGACUUGAGUGCAGGGGAGGUAAGCGGAAUACCUAGUGUAGCGGUGAAAUGCGUAGAUAUUAGGAGGAACACCAGUGGCGAAGGCGGCUUACUGGACUGUAACUGACGUUGAGGCUCGAAAGCGUGGGGAGCAAACAGGAUUAGAUACCCUGGUAGUC